This 374-nucleotide ribosomal RNA is filed under the name uncultured eukaryote. Its description in RNAcentral is "partial 18S ribosomal RNA". It matches the Rfam family "Eukaryotic small subunit ribosomal RNA", at positions 592 to 975 of the family's 1831-position model. The record is from RNAcentral.
CAAUAGCGUAUAUUUAAGUUGUUGCAGUUAAAAAGCUCGUAGUUGGAUUUCGGUUAAGAGCGACCGGUCCGCCGUUUGGUGUGCACUGGUUGGUUUUAACUUCCUGUAGAGGACGUGCUCUGGGUUUAACGACCUGGACUCGGAGUCUACGUGGUUACUUUGAAAAAAUUAGAGUGUUCAAAGCGGGCUUACGCUUGAAUAUUUCAGCAUGGAAUAACACUAUAGGACUCCUGUCCUAUUUCGUUGGUCUCGGGACGGGAGUAAUGAUUAAGAGGAACAGUUGGGGGCAUUCGUAUUUCAUUGUCAGAGGUGAAAUUCUUGGAUUUAUGAAAGACGAACUUCUGCGAAAGCACUUGCCAAGGAUGUUUNCAUUA